UGGUGUUGGAACCCUCAAGGCUACCGAUGC
Molecule: non-coding RNA, 30 nt
Filed under: Homo sapiens (human)
Lineage: Eukaryota; Metazoa; Chordata; Mammalia; Primates; Hominidae
Source: RNAcentral